GCACUUUGGAAAGAGAGUUAAACAGUACGUGAAAUUGUCGAAAGGGAAGCGCUUGAAGUCAGACAUGUUUGUUGGGAUUCAGCCUUGCUUUUGCUUGGUGUAUUUCCUUUCGAGCAGGCCAGCAUCNAUUUUGUUUGACGGAUAAGGGUAAAAGGAACGUGGCACCUCCGGGUGUGUUAUAGCCUUCUACUGGAUACGUCGAAUGGGAUCGAGGAAUGCAGUGCGCCUUCGGGCGGACCUUCGGGUACCUUCGCACUUAGGAUGCUGGCGUAAUGGCUUUAAGCGACCCGUCUUGAAACACGGACC
Molecule: ribosomal RNA, 306 nt
Filed under: uncultured fungus
Lineage: Eukaryota; Fungi
Description: LSU rRNA
Rfam family: Eukaryotic large subunit ribosomal RNA
Source: RNAcentral